UGGGGAAUAUUGCACAAUGGGCGCAAGCCUGAUGCAGCGACGCCGCGUGAGGGAUGACGGCCUUCGGGUUGUAAACCUCUGUUAGCAGGGAAGAAGAGAAAUUGACGGUACCUGCAGAGAAAGCGCCGGCUAACUACGUGCCAGCAGCCGCGGUAAUACGUAGGGCGCGAGCGUUGUCCGGAAUUAUUGGGCGUAAAGAGCUUGUAGGCGGUUUGUCGCGUCUGCUGUGAAAGGCCGGGGCUUAACCCCGUGUAUUGCAGUGGGUACGGGCAGACUAGAGUGCAAUAGGGGAGACUGGAACUCCUGGUGUAGCGGUGGAAUGCGCAGAUAUCAGGAAGAACACCGAUGGCGAAGGCAGGUCUCUGGGCUGUAACUGACGCUGAGAAGCGAAAGCAUGGGGAGCGAACAGGAUUAGAUACCCUGGUAGUCCAUGCCGUAAACGUUGGGCACUAGGUGUGGGGGACAUUCCACGUUUUCCGCGCCGUAGCUAACGCAUUAAGUGCCCCGCCUGGGGAGUACGGCCACAAGGCUA
Molecule: ribosomal RNA, 532 nt
Filed under: uncultured bacterium
Lineage: Bacteria
Description: bacterial SSU rRNA
Rfam family: Bacterial small subunit ribosomal RNA
Source: RNAcentral